UUAGUGUACACACAAAAACCACACAUAUCAGCCAUGAAGUCCAAACCACUCUCUCUGGUCUUCAUUCUUGCCAUGAUCGCCGCCGCAGCACUACUGGUUUUUGCAACCCCAACAACCGCGGGGAAGUUUUCCGGCGACAUAUAGCAAAGGGAGUUGUUGCAACGAAACCGCGGUGCUGUGGCGCAAUCAUCGGCCGUGCUAAGCUCCUGGGGUAUACUCCACCGUGCUGUGGCUGAGGACAUGACAAAUAAAAUGGGACAGAGGGAAUAAUAAAUAAAUCAAGCAUAUAUGGAUUAUAACUACUCCAGAUUGAUGUCUGCAUACUAAAUUUCCUACUCUACUCUAGCUAUGUUCUUCAUGUUGGGAUAUUUCAGAAAUGGAAAAAUAGCCUAUUAACGUAUGGAGUAAUAUAUUUUUAUAAUUAUAUGUUGGCAUGUUUUUGGA
Molecule: long non-coding RNA, 444 nt
Organism: Ipomoea triloba (trilobed morning glory)
Lineage: Eukaryota; Viridiplantae; Streptophyta; Magnoliopsida; Solanales; Convolvulaceae
Exons: 2
Source: RefSeq, a predicted model, not a curated record